ACAUCUCUGCUGUAGGUUCCUCAGAAGUUUUGCAGGGAAGCCAUCCAGAGAGGUUUCUGGUUACAUACUUCUCUGAGCAAGGCUUAACAUUUGCAGUGAACUCAAAAAGUGUGAAAAGACAUUACUCAAGGAUUUAAUAGGUCUCAGCCCAACACAAUGAAGGAUUUUGGUGUAUCAAUAUUAAGCAAUAUCAGAGGCAGGAAGCUGUAACAUCAAGUUUUUUGUAUUUGCAACUGUGUAUAAUAUCUCAUUGAGCUUUGGUUUUAGUUACAGGGUAUAUUUGCAACAUUGGGUAAAAGUUAAGAUGUCACUUCUAAAAUGCUAAGAUUUUUGUCUUUGGAAUAUGGAAUAUGCCAAAGGAAUGAUAACAUCUCAUCUCACCUCAACUGAAAAGAUCAGAAAUCACUUUGUUUCAAGCUCAAUGAAGCUGGAAUAUUUCAACAAUAUUCUAGAAAGAUUUGAAAGGCACAUUUGGAGCCCAGUCUUGUGAACAAGACGUUGAUCAAGCAGGAUCAAUUGACUUGCUUUUUAAAAGGAGAGUUGAGGGUCACCAUACUUUUUCCAAUAUUAAAGUAAUUUAAGUAAACAUUUGUUCCAUUCACCAAAUGCAAAGGUUCACCAAAUGUAGCCAAUGACCAUCCACUGCAGUUUUUCUGGCUACUAAAAUAUUACAUGUGAACCUCCUUGACAUUUUCCGUCAUCAUCCUGGCUGUGUAAUCUUGUGAAACUAAUGACUUGCAUUUCUUCAACACUCCCCCCCCCUUCACUUCGCCGAUGUAGAGUGUGUUAUUAAUGGUGUGAGUUGAAACAUAUGGAGUGGGACUACUUUGCCAGUGAUGCACUUGGGAGUGUGAAAAAAAAUGCUUAUUUAUGAACUGAGCGAUGAUUCUUUCCACCUCUCUCUGUCAAGUGUACUGGCUGUUGCAAAUGACCUGUUUUCAGCACUGUUUUCAUUGGAUGAUUGUUGGGCAUGUGUAACUAAGGCCUGGGUUCAUCGUGGUCAAGGCCGUGUCCAAUGAGCAACUGUUUGUUCAGUCAAUCCAUACAGUAUGGCUCCCAGGAUGCAACCCAAGAACGUGUAGCCUGGAAAAAGAGGCAGAGAAUGCCUAGAAGAACUGUGACACGGCAGAAGUGGGCCUGUUGUCUGCUCAGUUCAACGACAAACCCUCAACCUGAUGUGCACUUAGUGGUCAUGCUCUGGUUAGUUUCCUGAAGAGUUGGGGACGACUGCGGCAUUGUCCAGAUUGGUUUGGGUUACAUCAAGGAAAGGACUAACAAUGUGAAAUACCGAAGGCUGUUAACAGGUGUGGAAAGAGCUACUUUGAACCCCCAAUCCACCCUUGCUGUAUCCCAACACUAUCAUACUUGCAAGUUUGUUCACUGACAUCUCAUCACCCCAGAACAGCUGUUGAUAUUGGUUCCUGCAGUGCCCACAGUAAGCCAGGUAUAGUUCAGGGCCAAGUGUAUUAUGGUUGCACUAAAGUGUGAAUUUAGCCACCUUCCCCCAAAGGUACAGUUUUUGGUUUUUUUUUUCUUGCACAAAAACCUGAUUAUACCGUGGACCCUUAUAGCUCUGCAUCUCAAUGAGUUUUCCUACUGCACUACCUGGUGUACCAUAAAUAUUACCUUGCAAGUUUGAUGUGGUAUCUGAAAUUUCUGAAUUUUAUAGCAAGAUUUUAAGAAUUCAUUUUGAUUUUUUUUCAGGCAGAAUCCAAUGCAUAAGAUUAAGCCAGUCAUGAGAAAAGCAUGACGUAUAAUUAUCAUGGUCAGUGGAGGAUUACAGUGAACGGCAGAUAAUAUUAUUGUUUGGUUUGGAGCUGACGUAUACUCAAAUAUGUUGGUUGACUGAUUUGUUCAUCUGUCAGUUCAUAUGCAUUGCUGUUUUGUUGGUGUGUUUGGUUAGUUGAUGAGUGGGGGGAUUGGCACCCAAUAGUUCAUCAGGCAAUCGGUUCAUUAGUCAGCUCUGGGAUCAGUUACACAGGGUGGUCAUCUUGUUCUUUGCUCAGUCAGCCAUGUAAUCAGUCACGUGAGAUGCU
RNAcentral lists this long non-coding RNA (2036 nucleotides) under Acanthaster planci (crown-of-thorns starfish). RNAcentral's name for it is "uncharacterized LOC110983979, transcript variant X4". The record is from RNAcentral. Lineage: Eukaryota; Metazoa; Echinodermata; Asteroidea; Valvatida; Acanthasteridae.